ACAGACUGGUCUAUGGGCCAGUCUGAGGGAGGCAAUGCUCAACUGAAGUUCUCUCCUCCUAGAUGACCCUAGCUUAUGUCAAGUUGACAAAAACGAAAUAAAACAACAAAAACCAACAAAACAAAACAAAAUGAAACAAAAAAGCCCCCAAAACAGAGCAGCGGCAGACUCCUUUAAUACUAGCUCUGGGGAGGCAGAGGCAGGAGGGUGUCUAUGAUGAGUUCAAGGCCAAUCUAGUCUACUUAGUGAGCUCUAGGCCAGUGAGGACUGAAUAGAGAAACCCUGCCUCAAGCACAAAGAGCAUCUGGGGUCAUUCAUCUUGGUCCCCCAGAGUUGUUAGUUGCCUAUUGGCGUCUUAGUUGCCUAUUGGCGUCUUGGGUUUGGAUGGUGUGGCAGUGCUUUGGAAAGGUGCUUAGUGCUUUCUACUUAGCUCCUAUAGCCCUGUUUUCUAGCAGCCAUAGCCCUGUUCCAUGGAGUAGCUCCUUCCAGGCCCAUCCCAGGAUGAGAGCAGGAUGGUUAGUAAGCCACCCAAGGUCUCAGAUGGCAACAGGAUUUGAACUUGGGCUGCCUGCUCUGAAGCCAGGUCGUUUUCGGGCCCACUGGUGCUUCAUGGAGAUCAGGAGCAUCCCUGACCCCCAGUAUGCAAGAAACCCCUUUUUGAGCAAGGACCUAGGUGUGCCUUUGUGGAUUCAGAACCCUAGUGGAA
RNAcentral lists this long non-coding RNA (706 nucleotides) under Rattus norvegicus (Norway rat). Its description in RNAcentral is "long non-coding RNA NONRATT003411". The record is from RNAcentral. Lineage: Eukaryota; Metazoa; Chordata; Mammalia; Rodentia; Muridae.